RNAcentral lists this ribosomal RNA (468 nucleotides) under uncultured bacterium. RNAcentral describes it as "partial 16S ribosomal RNA". It matches the Rfam family "Bacterial small subunit ribosomal RNA", at positions 28 to 507 of the family's 1533-position model. The record is from RNAcentral.
GACGAACGCUGGCGGCGUGCUUAACACAUGCAAGUCGAACGGAAAGGCCCUGCUUUUUUUGUGUGCUCGAGUGGCGAACGGGUGAGUAACACGUGAGUAACCUGCCCUUUACUUUGGGAUAACUUCAGGUAACUGGGUCUAAUACCGGAUAGGAGCUCCUGCUGCAUGGUGGUGGUUGGAAAGUUUCGGCGGUUGGGGAUGGACUCGCGGCUUAUCAGCUUGUUGGUGGGGUAGUUGCUUACCAAGGCUUUGACGGGUAGCCGGCAUGAGAGGGUGAGCGGCGAAAUUGGGACUGAGAUACGGCACAGACUGCUACGGGAGGCAGCAGUGGGGAAUAUUGCAGAAUGGGCGGAAGCGUGAUGCAGCAAAGCAGCGUGGGGGAUGACGGCAUACGGGUUGUAAACCGCUUUCGCCUGUGACGAAGAGUGAGUGACGGUAAUGGGUAAAGAAGCACCGGCUAACUACGUG